AGCGAGAGAACGUUGCGUCAGCAACGGCCCGCAGGGCGAGCCACAAAGUGGCGAGUCAUCCUCUAUCACCGACCA
This 75-nucleotide small RNA is filed under the name Klebsiella quasipneumoniae. Its description in RNAcentral is "partial RtT sRNA". It matches the Rfam family "RtT RNA", at positions 56 to 130 of the family's 130-position model. Rfam says of the family: This family represents a bacterial cis-regulatory element known as RtT RNA. The exact function of RtT is unknown although it is thought that it may be involved in changing the cellular response in relation to amino acid starvation. The record is from RNAcentral. Lineage: Bacteria; Pseudomonadati; Pseudomonadota; Gammaproteobacteria; Enterobacterales; Enterobacteriaceae.